UUGCGUUAGGGAUAGAGGCGGUAUCCUUUUUUGUAUCACGCUUUUACGGGAUAUAAAAAAGAUUAAGCCGAAAGCCCGACCGGAG
Molecule: small RNA, 85 nt
Filed under: Flavobacterium saliperosum
Lineage: Bacteria; Pseudomonadati; Bacteroidota; Flavobacteriia; Flavobacteriales; Flavobacteriaceae
Description: Flavo-1 RNA
Rfam family: Flavo-1 RNA
Source: RNAcentral